GGGAAAUUUCGAGGGGAAAAUUUAGGGGUUGGGUCGAAAUAGAAUUUACCUAUUUUGAAAUGGUUAAAUUUGCUAAUUGCACUAACUUGGUCAAAAGGGGGAAAAAAAAAACCGGGAAAGUGAGAGAGAGGGAAAUGAGGGCCAAAAUCAAAAAAUUUAACGAAAACCAAAUAGAAAAUCGAAAUGCCUCCUCCUAUUGUCUCACUGGUGUGAGCCGAGUGAUUCAGAGAGACUGAGACUGAGACUGAGACUGAGACUGAGAGAUGAAGACUGCAGCAAAGAGUUUGGUCAUCGAGAUCGAAGACGACGACUUCCUUUCUCAGGUGGCGGCGGCUGAGGCCCAGGCGCUCGCCAGCAAGCGUCGGCGUAUCAGUAUCGCACCCUCUCCAAACGCCGCCGUUUCUUUCCAUUCCCGAGCGAAUCACAAAGAAGGCUCGGACGGCGAAGAUGGCGGUAUUUACACCGCGGCUCUCAAAGGAAGCCAAAGAGCAGCCCCCGAGCCUCCACGCGGCGGAUUUUCGACGGGGAGAGUCAAUGUCGGCCAGACCGGAAACGACGGCAUUUCUGCUGGCGGUGGUUCGUGCUUCAAGUGCGGAAAACCGGGACACUGGGCCCGCGAUUGUGAUGUCACCGGUGGAGGAGGAGGCGGUGGAGGGUAUUAUGGUAAUUCCGGCGGCGGGGACUCUUCGUCUUCGAUUUCGGUUCCGGAGAAGAGCUGCCCCUGUGGAUUUGGCGCCUGCAUGGUGCUCACUGCAAAUACUGAGAAAAAUCGAGGUCGAAGGUUUUACAAAUGCCCUCUUAGACAGGUUCACAAAUCACAAACCCAUUUCUAUUUUUUUUGUCUUUUUUAGGUUUAAGAGAGAAAUAGAUGCCAUGGUUAUGGUUUUGUUUGCUUGAAUUUUGACAGGAAAAUGGGGGAUGCGGUUUCUUUGAGUGGUGUGACAAUGCUUCUGGGCCUAAUGUAAUGGCUAGUACUGGUAUGGGUAGUGGUAGCGCUACUAGGACCCAUAGUUAUGCUGCAUCUGAUUCUUCAUUUCCUGCUCUUGAAUGUCCCUGUGGCGGUGGUCUGUGCUUAAUCUUAACAGCCAAAACUGGCAAAAACAUCGGCAGCCAAUUCUAUCGUUGCCCUGCAAACGAGGUACCCUUUAACUUGUUGAGCCUAAUUCAUUGAUUUUGGCCCAAUUAGAUAGGAAUGCAUUGCAAAUUUGGAAUCUUUAUUUUAUAUUUAUUAUGUGUUUGAAUUAAUGUCUAAGAGAAACUGCUUGUUUGGACUUUGAAUCGUAAUAGAACUGGAUAGUGGCUUAUUGUUUUUUUUGGCUCGUUUAGGGAUGCGGUUUCUUCAAGUGGUGCAAUGAGCAUACCGGGGCAGCUGCUGGUGUUCUGGGUGGCGGCGCUGCCAAGGUGGAAAGGAAGGUUUCGAGUGAGGCAAGUAACAAUGGCUUUGGUGUAAGAACUGGUUCUUCCUGCUUUAAGUGUGGAAAGGAAGGGCAUUGGGCAAGAGAUUGCCCAGCAGUUCCUUCCUAUAAUGCUCCAGUUGAGUUGGAAGCACGGUCUGCUGCUUCACCGGGCUCUUGCUAUAAGUGUGGCAAGCCAGGGCACUGGGCGAGGGACUGCCCUUCUGGUUAAUGUGCAAUGUACUACUGAAAGACAUCCAUUUCUUGAGUUUAAUGUUUGUGUGUUGAAGUUUUUCAAGACUAGCUGUUUCUUGAUAUGAUAUGAGAGAUUGAAAACAGGAUUAACACAACCAUAUUAGGCCUGGCAAUAGUUUUCUGAGAAACUUGUGGA
Molecule: long non-coding RNA, 1785 nt
Filed under: Prunus dulcis (almond)
Lineage: Eukaryota; Viridiplantae; Streptophyta; Magnoliopsida; Rosales; Rosaceae
Description: sRNA ncRNA
Source: RNAcentral